Eucalyptus grandis is the source of this 664-nucleotide long non-coding RNA. RefSeq lists it as uncharacterized. The record is from RefSeq and is a predicted model, not a curated record. NCBI's taxonomy places the organism in Eukaryota, Viridiplantae, Streptophyta, Magnoliopsida, Myrtales, Myrtaceae. The transcript has 2 exons.
UAAUAAUACAGGGUAGUGAUUGUGGCGUUCGUAUUGCAUAAGGCUACUCACGCGCAGUCGUUGUGUUCUCACUGCUCAAAGCUAGCGCUGCCGUGGGCAACCUAAAGCCAGAGUAAACGUCUGCGGGGCCGGUUCAUGGAUAAGAGUGAAGUCUAUGAGGUUGGAGUGAUUGUUUUCCAAAUGCUGUGGGGGACGCAGAACGUAGAUCACUCCAAGCAUCUGGCUACUGAAUCAUGCAGAUUUCAGGAUUUCAUCGAUGCAAAUAUCCACGAAAAAAGGUUCUUCGAGUACGAGGUGGCUAAACUCGCGAGAAUUGCCUCUUGCACCAACGAGUAUCUCUAUGAUAGGCCAUCCGUGGAGUCAGUGAUUCACGAGCUACGUAACGGGCAGCAGCUGUCUCUGAAUGACAGGCCUUAUUUGAUACGUGUUCCAAGACCUGUUUCGACGGUUGAUGGUGAAAGCUGGGCUGAAGAAGCCAACUGUGGCCGAUGUAGUGACCUACCGGCUUCGACAUUUUUUUUUGUUUUGGUCCUUUGCCGUAGGGCUGUGCUUUCUUGCGUAUGUUCAAGCCUGUUGCGGACGCAUUGCUUUAGUUUGCGCUUGUACAAGUGCUUUGCGAAAAAUUCUCUUCGGGAGUAGGUACAUUUCGAUUUUAGAUGUUCGA